AUUGAACGCUGGCGGCAUGCCUUACACAUGCAAGUCGAACGGCAGCACGGGUGCUUGCACCUGGUGGCGAGUGGCGAACGGGUGAGUAAUACAUCGGAACGUACCUUAUCGUGGGGGAUAACGCAGCGAAAGCUGUGCUAAUACCGCAUACGCCCUGAGGGGGAGAGCGGGGGAUCGCAAGACCUCGCGCGAUUAGAGCGGCCGAUGCCUGAUUAGCUUGUUGGUGGGGUAAAAGCCCACCAAGGCGACGAGCAGUAGCUGGUCUGAGAGGACAAUCAGCAAACCUGGGACUGAGACACGGCCAAGACUCCUAGGGGAGGAGGCAGUGGGAAAUUUUGGAAAAUGGGGGCAACCCUGAUCCAGCAAUGCCGCGUGAGUGAAGAAGGCCUUCGGGUUGAAAAGCUCUUUUGUCAGGGAAAAAACACCGGCUCUAACACAGUCUGGGAAUGACGGUACCUGAAGAAUAAGCACCGGCUAACUACGUGCCAGCCGCCGCCGUAA
This 501-nucleotide ribosomal RNA is filed under the name uncultured bacterium. RNAcentral describes it as "partial 16S ribosomal RNA". It matches the Rfam family "Bacterial small subunit ribosomal RNA", at positions 29 to 523 of the family's 1533-position model. The record is from RNAcentral.